AGUGAACGCUGGCGGUAGGCCUAACACAUGCAAGUCGAACGGCAGCACAGGAGAGCUUGCUCUCUGGGUGGCGAGUGGCGGACGGGUGAGGAAUACAUCGGAAUCUACUUUUUCGUGGGGGAUAACGUAUGGAAACUUACGCUAAUACCGCAUACGACCUACGGGCGAAAGCAGGGGAUCUUCGGACCUUGCGCGAUUGAAUGAGCCGAUGUCGGAUUAGCUAGUUGGCGGGGUAAGGGCCCACCAAGGCGACGAUCCGUAGCUGGUCUGAGAGGAUGAUCAGCCACACUGGAGCUGAGACACGGUCCAGACUCCUACGGGAGGCAGCAGUGGGGAAUAUUGGACAAUGGGCGCAAGCCUGAUCCAGCCAUACCGCGUGGGUGAAGAAGGCCUUCGGGUUGUAAAGCCCUUUUGUUGGGAAAGAAAUCCAGCUGGUUAAUACCCGGUUGGGAUGACGGUACCCAAAGAAUAAGCACCGGCUAACUUCGUGCCAGCCGCCGCGGUAA
Molecule: ribosomal RNA, 506 nt
Filed under: uncultured bacterium
Lineage: Bacteria
Description: partial 16S ribosomal RNA
Rfam family: Bacterial small subunit ribosomal RNA
Source: RNAcentral